Molecule: ribosomal RNA, 481 nt
Filed under: uncultured bacterium
Lineage: Bacteria
Description: partial 16S ribosomal RNA
Rfam family: Bacterial small subunit ribosomal RNA
Source: RNAcentral
GAUGAACGCUGGCGGCGUGCUUAACACAUGCAAGUCGAACGAAGCAUUUAGGACAGAUUACUUCGGUUUGAAGUUCUUUAUGACUGAGUGGCGGACGGGUGAGUAACGCGUGGGUAACCUGCCUUGUACUGGGGGAUAGCAGCUGGAAACGGCUGGUAAUACCGCAUAAGCGCACAAUGUUGCAUGACAUGGUGUGAAAAACUCCGGUGGGAUAAGAUGGACCCGCGUCUGAUUAGCUAGUUGGUGAGAUAACAGCCCACCAAGGCGACGAUCAGUAGCCGACCUGGGAGGGUGACCGGCCACAUUGGGACUGAGACACGGCCCAGACUCCUACGGGAGGCAGCAGUGGGGAAUAUUGCACAAGGGAGGAAACUCUGAUGCAGCGACGCCGCGUGAGUGAAGAAGUAAUUCGUUAUGUAAAGCUCUAUCAGCAGGGAAGAUAGUGACGGUACCUGACUAAGAAGCUCCGGCUAAAUACGUG